Molecule: transfer RNA, 70 nt
Filed under: Urocitellus parryii (Arctic ground squirrel)
Lineage: Eukaryota; Metazoa; Chordata; Mammalia; Rodentia; Sciuridae
Also listed under: 2 other names
Description: Spermophilus parryii (Arctic ground squirrel) tRNA
Rfam family: tRNA
About the family: Transfer RNA (tRNA) molecules are approximately 80 nucleotides in length.
Source: Rfam by way of RNAcentral
GGGGUUGUGGCUCAGAGGUAGAGCGCUCGCCUAGCAUGCAAGAGGCACUGGGUUUUGAUCCUCAGCACCA